CCUACGGGAGGCAGCAGUGAGGAAUAUUGGUCAAUGGACGCUAGUCUGAACCAGCCAUGCCGCGUGCAGGAAGACGGCCCUAUGAGUUGUAAACUGCUUUUGUAUGAGGGUAAACUCCGAUAUGCAUAUCUGUCUGAAAGUAUCUUACGAAUAAGGAUCGGCUAACUCCGUGCCAGCAGCCGCGGUAAUACGGAGGAUUCAAGCGUUAUCCGGAUUUAUUGGGUUUAAAGGGUGCGUAGGCGGUCGGAUAAGUCAGAGGUGAAAUCCCGAGGCUCAACUUCGGAAUUGCCUCUGAUACUGGUAGGCUAGAGAGUAGUAGCGGUAGGCGGAAUGUAUGGUGUAGCGGUGAAAUGCUUAGAGAUCAUACAGAACACCGAUUGCGAAGGCAGCUUACCAAGCUACUUCUGACGUUGAGGCACGAAAGCGUGGGGAGCAAACAGGAUUAGAUACCCCAGUAGUC
This 460-nucleotide ribosomal RNA is filed under the name uncultured bacterium. Its description in RNAcentral is "partial 16S ribosomal RNA". It matches the Rfam family "Bacterial small subunit ribosomal RNA", at positions 338 to 795 of the family's 1533-position model. The record is from RNAcentral.